UCCCUGUUGACGGAAUGAACGGAAUUCAGUAGCGAUAACUGAGCAGGGA
RNAcentral lists this non-coding RNA (49 nucleotides) under unclassified sequences. RNAcentral describes it as "DUF2693-FD RNA". It matches the Rfam family "DUF2693-FD RNA". From Rfam's summary of the family: DUF2693-FD RNA is a non-coding RNA (ncRNA) recognised in Bacteroides by a bioinformatic analisis by Zasha Weinberg. No recognised genes. The record is from Rfam by way of RNAcentral.